RNAcentral lists this ribosomal RNA (434 nucleotides) under uncultured bacterium. Its description in RNAcentral is "partial 16S ribosomal RNA". It matches the Rfam family "Bacterial small subunit ribosomal RNA", at positions 29 to 507 of the family's 1533-position model. The record is from RNAcentral.
AGCGAACGCUGGCGGCAGGCCUAACACAUGCAAGUCGAACGAACCUUUCGGGGUUAGUGGCGGACGGGUGAGUAACACGUGGGAACGUGCCUUUAGGUUCGGAAUAACUCAGGGAAACUUGUGCUAAUGCCGAAUGUGCCCUUCGGGGGAAAGAUUAAUCGCCUUUAGAGCGGCCCGCGUCUGAUUAGCUAGUUGGUUGAGGUAAUGGCUCACCAAGGCGACGAUCAGUAGCUGGUCUGAGAGGAUGAUCAGCCACAUUGGGACUGAGACACGGCCCAAACUCCUACGGGAGGCAGCAGUGGGGAAUCUUGCGCAAUGGGCGAAAGCCUGACGCAGCCAUGCCGCGUGAAUGAUGAAGGUCUUAGGAUUGUAAAAUUCUUUCACCGGGGACGAUAAUGACGGUACCCGGAGAAGAAGCCCCGGCUAACUUCGUG